AACUGCGGUGUGAUAUCACAUUGCCCUUGAAUUACAUUGAAACGACAUCACUACUUUGCAGUACGUUGGUCUUGUGUAAUAUUUACAUAUGAAGCACAAACAAUAUUACACAUAAACAGCUGCAACCACAUCAAUCCGACCUGGUUUAGUGAUAUUACACAAAACCGAUGCUAUUUCACAUUCAACCUCAAUGCGAUAAUAAAUCUCGCAACACUGUCCGCAUGUUGUUGUUCGAUGGUCGACAAACGACAAAGUCAUUUUGUUUAUCAAAGUUGUUCGCGUUUGAAUAUUUAUUUUGUUAGUUUUAUCACGAAAAUUUAAAAAUAAAAUUCGAAAAUUUAGUGAUUUUAGACCACGACUACGUGUAUUAAUUGUGGACCACGAAGAAGCGGUCAUCCGGUGCUUGGGUCAACUCGAUUGAAGAGGGCCGUGGCAGUAAUCCGGAUAGGUCAACCAUCAAUGUGCCCUCGAAAGACGUCAUUCCGAUGCCUCCACUUUUUCCGGCCAUUCCGGAACUUCCUGAACACCUGGCCAGGGGAACAAACCAAAUAUAUGUAGGUGGCACGAAUUUCGAAUUGAUUGCGUCCGAGAAUCGGUUCGGCCAGUUUUGAACCGUCGGUGCAGUGAUCGGUUCCGAUCCGCGCUACAAGAUGGUUUACCCCAGUAUGGUAUCCUGCUCUAUGGGGAAGCUGGUCUUGCCGCCGGCGAUUUUUUCUGGCGAAAGGCAUGCCAAUUUCAAGGAGCUGGAGAAACGGCGGGAUUUGUGAUUGCCACGGGAUACGUUUGCCUUUGUGCAAAGGGAAAUAUUGACCACCAAGGGAGUUGAAUAGAACGAUGUUUACCAUUAUGGAACCAUGAAGGAACUUCGUCAGCAUAUUUGGCUCGAACGGGUCUAAUUCCAGCUACCACAGUGAAGAGGGUGAACGAGUUUGGAUUUCCUGAUCGAGCUGUAAUCACCGUUCUAUUGGCUGCUUUUAGAAAAUCGGAUCUAUAUUUCAUGCAUCAACGACCUUUGGGCCAUACUUUUAUGCCGUAUUUAAUCAUGUAAAUAAUAAUUAAAUAGUGAAUAAUAAAAAAAAAACAAUAUA
This 1088-nucleotide long non-coding RNA is filed under the name Aedes aegypti (yellow fever mosquito). RNAcentral's name for it is "lncRNA AAEL023207". The record is from RNAcentral. Lineage: Eukaryota; Metazoa; Arthropoda; Insecta; Diptera; Culicidae.